AGAGUUUGAUCAUGGCUCAGAACGAACGUUGGCGGCGUGGAUUAGGCAUGCAAGUCGAACGAAUCCCAGUCUUGUAGCAAUACCGGUCUGGGGGAAGUGGCGAAAGGGGCAGUAAUACAUGGGCAACCUACCCCGGGGACGGGGAUAGCCAUUCUAACGAGUGGGUAAUACCUGGCGAUUUGGUUGAGGGGCAUCUCUUGACCAGGAAAUGAAUUUCGCCUCGGGAGGGGCUCAUGCGAUAUUAGCUAGUUGGUGGGGUAACGGCCCACCAAGGCAAAGAUGUCUAGCGGGUGUGAGAGCACGACCCGCGCCACUGGCACUGAGACACUGGCCAGACACCUACGGGUGGCUGCAGUCGAGGAUCUUCGGCAAUGGGCGCAAGCCUGACCGAGCGACGCCGCGUGGACGAUGAAGGCCUUCGGGUUGUAAAGUCCUGUCGAGGGGGAGGAAAGCCGAAAGGUUUGACCUAUCCCUGGAGGAAGCACGGGCUAAGUUCGUGCCAGCAGCCGCGGUAAGACGAACCGUGCGAACGUUGUUCGGAAUCACUGGGCUUAAAGGGCGCGUAGGCGGCUUGCCAAGUCAGUGGUGAAAUCCUGCAGCUUAACUGUAGAAGUGCCUUUGAUACUGGCUAGCUCGAGGGAGGUAGGGGUCUGUGGAACUUCUGGUGGAGCGGUGAAAUGCGUUGAUAUCAGAAGGAACGCCGGUGGCGAAAGCGACGGACUGGACCUCUUCUGACGCUGAGGCGCGAAAGCUAGGGGAGCAAACGGGAUUAGAUACCCCAGUAGUCC
This 788-nucleotide ribosomal RNA is filed under the name uncultured bacterium. RNAcentral describes it as "bacterial SSU rRNA". It matches the Rfam family "Bacterial small subunit ribosomal RNA", at positions 8 to 796 of the family's 1533-position model. The record is from RNAcentral.